RNAcentral lists this ribosomal RNA (515 nucleotides) under uncultured bacterium. Its description in RNAcentral is "bacterial SSU rRNA". It matches the Rfam family "Bacterial small subunit ribosomal RNA", at positions 8 to 518 of the family's 1533-position model. The record is from RNAcentral.
AGAGUUGAUCCUGGCUCAGGAUGAACGCUAGCGACAGGCUAACACAUGCAAGUCGAGGGGCAGCAUAAAAGUAGCAAUACUUGGUGGCGACCGGCGCACGGGUGAGUAACGCGUAUGCAACCUACCUAUCAGAGGGGAAUAACCCGGCGAAAGUCGGACUAAUACCGCAUAAAACAGGGACACCGCAUGGUGAUAUUUGUUAAAGAAAUUCGCUGAUAGAUGGGCAUGCGUUCCAUUAGGUAGUUGGUGAGGUAACGGCUCACCAAGCCGACGAUGGAUAGGGGAACUGAGAGGUUGGUCCCCCACACUGGUACUGAGACACGGACCAGACUCCUACGGGAGGCAGCAGUGAGGAAUAUUGGUCAAUGGGCGAGAGCCUGAACCAGCCAAGUCGCGUGAAGGAAGAAGGAUCUAUGGUUCGUAAACUUCUUUUGCAGGGGAAUAAAGUGCAGGACGUGUCCUGUUUUGUAUGUACCCUGAGAAUAAGGAUCGGCUAACUCCGUGCCAGCCGCCGC